CCGGGAGCUGGUGGUGGCAGCCCCCCUCUUGGUCCUUGUGAGCCCCAGCCACACCUCCAAAUGCUGGUACCCCCAGGGUAGCACCUGCCCCCGGAUUGUCUACACCCCCUUCCCAAGCAUCAGGGGCCUCCCACGGCCCGGAGAGGCCUCGGCUGCCCGUCGGCACAAGGCUGGGGAUAACUGGGCAGCCCCGGUGUCGAGGCGAGGUGGGGCGCGGGGGUGAAUGCCCCCAGAGCGGGGCGAAAGGCCUCUCGGCUGCCCUCGGGGGAAGGGAGUGUCCCUCGCAGGGGAACAGACGGAGCGCCCUACUCUUAGUCACCGACCUGCCCGCCACGUCGGGAGGAGGUUUUGCAAGCGCAGGCGGCGCUGCCUUAGCGAUGGAAAGCAGGCAUUUCACUGUUGAUGUUCCCCAGUCCUGCCGGCUGACGGUUACUAGGGGAUCCUGAAGGAUGUGUUUCCCUGUGACCCUUUGAGAAGAAAAACUUAGUUGCCGCAGUAACCAAGUUUGGCUUGGAUGCAAUGAUGCAGUAAAUAGCAUAGUUUUCUUCCAGAGUUGUGUCUUUUCUAAAACACUGGUAUUCUGAAGAAAAAAUGGGCUGCUAUACACGAGACCGAUUCUGUUCCCAGCCUGAGGAUCAACAGAGAACUGGGCCGUCAAGCUUACAGAUGCAUCAGGAGUGAGGGGACAGCGAGUGUGUCAGUGCAGGCCACACAGCAGAUAGGUAUGCAUCCAGUCGAUGGAUGAGGCUAUGUGUGUACAUUUCAUUAAGGGAACAAAAGUAACUGGAGCAAACUGUGCAGCUAAUGCUUUUACUCCUUUGAAUUAUUGUCAAGGAGGUAUUGGUAUAAAUAAACAUCCCUCCAGCUUAUUUCACCUCUGAAAGCUACUCACUGUUUUAAGUAAAGGACAUUCAAGGAUGAAUAAUGAAUGUUACUAUUUCUACAUUUUCCGUGAAAUAAUAUGUCAAGCUGAUUUCUCAUAUCAUCUUCUACUAAAAGCUAAAUGUAAUAAUAAAAGAUACAUGAAUGUAAGCAAA
Long non-coding RNA from Pseudopipra pipra, 1037 nucleotides. RefSeq lists it as uncharacterized. The transcript has 3 exons. The record is from RefSeq and is a predicted model, not a curated record. NCBI's taxonomy places the organism in Eukaryota, Metazoa, Chordata, Aves, Passeriformes, Pipridae.